UACGUAGGUGGCGAGCGUUGUCCGGAUUUACUGGGCGUAAAGGGAGCGUAGGCGGACUUUUAAGUGAGAUGUGAAAUACCCGGGCUCAACUUGGGUGCUGCAUUUCAAACUGGAAGUCUAGAGUGCAGGAGAGGAGAAUGGAAUUCCUAGUGUAGCGGUGAAAUGCGUAGAGGUUAGGAAGAACACCAGUGGCGAAGGCGAUUCUCUGGACUGUAACUGACGCUGAGGCUCGAAAGCGUGGGGAGCAAACAGGAUUAGAUACCCUGGUA
This 269-nucleotide ribosomal RNA is filed under the name uncultured prokaryote. RNAcentral describes it as "partial 16S ribosomal RNA". It matches the Rfam family "Bacterial small subunit ribosomal RNA", at positions 524 to 792 of the family's 1533-position model. The record is from RNAcentral.